UGGCGAGGUAACAGUGGAAACAACAGGGAUUGGAUCUGAAUUACUGGCAAAAUGAUCUGACGGAGAAGCUGAAAAUAAUCUAAUUUGAAUGAAAUUGAGUGGUUUCUGGGUGGUCUCAAAAGUACCAAGAAAAUGGGCAUGAAAUGCAACAUUUUUUAUGCUUAAAUUGUCAAAAGAUGCGAUUUUGUUUGUGGGUUUUUGUGGGGUUGGAGAAUCAAGAUUGUGGGAGCAGUUGAAAUCUUUGUUUUCUGGAUUUACAGAAGAAGAAAGAAUCUUGGUGUAAAGAAGGUUGAAUCUUUGUUGGUUUGGGAAUUGGGUAGAUUCUGGAGUUGAAAAGUGAGAAACAAGUGAUGAUGAUUUUUUAUGAUGAUUAAACAAAGGAAAAAUAAAUGGAGUUCUUGGAGAUUUCAUGGAUUCAUGCAACGGAUUAAACAAAAUAUGCAUUGAAUAUUGAAAUUCAAUGUUUAGCUCCAAUAGAUUGAAGCGGCUUGCAAGAUGAUG
This 501-nucleotide long non-coding RNA is filed under the name Olea europaea subsp. europaea. The record is from RNAcentral. Lineage: Eukaryota; Viridiplantae; Streptophyta; Magnoliopsida; Lamiales; Oleaceae.